UACGAAGGGGGCUAGCGUUGCUCGGAAUUACUGGGCGUAAAGCGCGUGUAGGCGGCUUGGCAAGUCGGGUGUGAAAGCCCUGGGCUCAACCUAGGAAGUGCACUCGAAACUGCUUCGCUUGAGUGUCGGAGAGGAAAGCGGAAUUCUCGGUGUAGAGGUGAAAUUCGUAGAUAUUGGGAAGAACACCGGUGGCGAAGGCGGCUCACUGGCUCGUAACUGACGCUCAUGCACGACAGCGUGGGGAUCAAACAGG
Molecule: ribosomal RNA, 253 nt
Filed under: uncultured bacterium
Lineage: Bacteria
Description: partial 16S ribosomal RNA
Rfam family: Bacterial small subunit ribosomal RNA
Source: RNAcentral